UGGGGAAUUUUGGACAAUGGGCGAAAGCCUGAUCCAGCAAUGCCGCGUGUGUGAAGAAGGCCUUCGGGUUGUAAAGCACUUUUGUCCGGAAAGAAAUCCUUGGCUCUAAUACAGUCGGGGGAUGACGGUACCGGAAGAAUAAGCACCGGCUAACUACGUGCCAGCAGCCGCGGUAAUACGUAGGGUGCAAGCGUUAAUCGGAAUUACUGGGCGUAAAGCGUGCGCAGGCGGUUUGCUAAGACCGAUAUGAAAUCCCCGGGCUCAACCUGGGAACUGCAUUGGUGACUGGCAGGCUAGAGUAUGGCAGAGGGGGGUAGAAUUCCACGUGUAGCAGUGAAAUGCGUAGAGAUGUGGAGGAAUACCGAUGGCGAAGGCAGCCCCCUGGGCCAAUACUGACGCUCAUGCACGAAAGCGUGGGGAGCAAACAGGAUUAGAUACCCUGGUAGUCCACGCCCUAAAACGAUGUCAACUAGUUGUUGGGGAUUCAUUUCCUUAGUAACGUAGCUAACGCGUGAAGUUGACCGCCUGGGGAGUACGGUCGCAAGAUUAAAACUCAAAGGAAUUGACGGGGUCAUAGCUGUUUCCU
This 586-nucleotide ribosomal RNA is filed under the name uncultured bacterium. Its description in RNAcentral is "partial 16S ribosomal RNA". It matches the Rfam family "Bacterial small subunit ribosomal RNA", at positions 355 to 1375 of the family's 1533-position model. The record is from RNAcentral.